CCGGAAGUGCGUCGGAACGUCACUUCCGUCGCAUCCCCGCCGCCGCCAUGCCGCUCGCCGCUCGCUUGGCCCGCUCCCUGCUGCGCCCCGCGGUCCGGCCAGGCCCGGCCCGGCGCGGUCUCGUCACGGGGCCUCCGCAGGAUCCGUUGGGGCCCGCGGAGACCGCCGUCGGUUUCGCCGCCAUGUUCGCCGUGUGCCUGGGCCCCGCCGCCUGGGUGCUGGCGCACCUGGAGGACUACAAGAAGCGGGAGUGAGCCGGGGCCUGCACCGGGACCACCAACGGGACCAGCACCGGGACCACGAACCGGGACCAGCGCCCAAGGGCCCCCCGGGCCCCGCGCCCCAAUAAAGGCCGCUGAUGUUC
Long non-coding RNA from Oxyura jamaicensis (ruddy duck), 364 nucleotides. RefSeq lists it as uncharacterized. The record is from RefSeq and is a predicted model, not a curated record. NCBI's taxonomy places the organism in Eukaryota, Metazoa, Chordata, Aves, Anseriformes, Anatidae. The transcript has 2 exons.